RNAcentral lists this unclassified non-coding RNA (433 nucleotides) under Zea mays. RNAcentral describes it as "misc RNA Zm00001eb064220". The record is from RNAcentral. Lineage: Eukaryota; Viridiplantae; Streptophyta; Magnoliopsida; Poales; Poaceae.
AGCAAAAAAUGGUCCCCCGGUACAAAAUGAACAGCUAGAACAAAGGCGAUCAGGUGUGAGGGGUGGAGGUCCCUACCCAAACACGAAGAAGUCGAUCCAAAGCGAACGGAUCUCCACCCGCGCCGGCUCGGCACCAGUGGACGGCGAGGAGGGGGGCGGUGACGAGGAAGCCGAGCAGAAAGAGGAAGAUAUGGCCGCGGAGACGCCCCCGAAGCGAGCGAGGAGGCUUCCCUGGAAGGGAGGGAGGGCGCGUGCCGUCGCCAAUGGUGUGGUGGCGCAGGCAGCGAACGCGGCCGCGCGGUGGAAGAAGAGAGAGAGAGAGAGAGACAGAGAGAGAGAGGAAAGUUCCUCCUGCCUACCUCAGCUUGGAGGAUUUCCCGGUUUUGCCCCUGGAUCCUUCCCGGCUGGCUAAAGUGCAGUUGGUGGCUUUUUU